UCCCCCUUGGCCGCCGCACCCCCUGCCCAUCUCCUACUCUCUCAAUUCUUGCAGCCACCAAACCCUAGCCGCCCCCCCUCUCAAUCCCCUCCUCCCAAGGUGCCAAUCCUUGCCGCUCGGAUCAUCGUCGUCGUGGUGCGAGUCUUCAAUCGUUUUGGUGGAGGGAAGAAGGGAGGAAGGAAAGGGGGAGAAUCCAAGGUGGUGGGCUUCCGGAUCGUACUUGGGAUUUGCCCGAACUUCCGGUAAAGGCAAGUAAAUACAGUGGUGGUUGCUACCGUUUGGUUUGCAUCCUAUUCCCUGUCAUUGAGUAUGCAUAAGUUUUAAUUAUGUUAAUCAUUAAAUUCUAUGAUGAAGUUUAUUUGUUUGGAAGUAUUAAUUCUCAAUUGUCUAACAUUGUGGAUGAUCAUAAUUUGGUAAUGAUAUAUGUGGUUGAUUCCCAUCUGGAUGAAGUUGAAGUGUCUUUUUGAAUCAUGUUAUAUGAAGUGUUGUAGGCAUGACAUGCACAUCGCAUCAUCCAUCUUGCAUUUUGAAGUUAUGUCGUGAUCUUAUGGUCCGACCGUACCGGUACAUUUUUAGCAUCGUACGUUGCCCGAGGAGGGGUACGAUGCGGCUUCAUAUCCUUAGAGGUAUGAAGGCAGAAGUCAUCCUUGCAUUUGCAGACAUUUGCACUCAUGAGGAAUAUAUGAAGUGUGACAUUACUAUGUUACUAUUGAUGUUUCUACCUGCGAGGUGUGGUAACUAGGUGCGUUGUACGUUGUAUACGUGCUGCACCUUCGUAAUAAGAAGGUUGUGGAAUUAAGUGGUGGUAAAACAAUGUUCUUAUGUGGUUAAACUGUUUGAUAUUAUUUUACUUGCUGAGAUGUGUCAUCUCACUCUUGCAUUACUCAAUGCAGGUACUUGAUACAUGUUGGGAAUGAGGGGAGUAGCAGCACGUCCACUUUCACUCUCACAAUAACGCUGCCCAGGCGCAGCCAUGAUUUAAUUAGAAACUUAUUAUCAAAGGAAGUUUGUUUACUUUUUUUAUAUGGUCGUGCGCACUGGUUAAUUCAGUUCAGGUCGUAUGUUUAUCUUUCCUUGCUAGCCGAGUAAUAAUACUUAGUAUGUUUUAGUCAUGAUAUAUGUUUAUACUCUGUUGCUCCCUCUUUUAUGCAAUCUUGCAAAGGGGAUGCUGCCGAAAUUUUAUAUAUAGAUGUCAGAAGUGUUGUUUAGUAGCAUGCCGGGGUGUUGGUGGACCCCGGGGUGUUACAGUUGGUAUCAAAGGAUAGGCUUUAGAUUCUACGCGAUUUGAAGAUAAAUUUGACACACUUGCACAUAUAGGAAGGGUAUGGGUUCAUAUAUCUUUCAUAUUAGUAUUUUAUUGUAUGGAUGACUAGAAUUUCCUUACUCCAAACCCCUUUAUGGUUUGAUGAGGUAUGUCGUUAACGACGUAAUGCUUGAUAUGAAAUGUUACUUCUUUUUAAUAUUGGUUUCUUGAUGUGGUUGUUAUUGAAAUUAUUAUGCGAGUGAAGCUACUAAUGUACUUGUUUUAUAUACAUAUCGUCAUGAUGUUUUUUGGGAUGCAAUGUUUACUAAUCUCUGAGCUAUUACCAUCAUAUAUUUCUAUAUGCUUGACUGUGGAUGUUUUUUUCCCAAAAGGAUUCUUGGGGUUCUAGUACUUGUAGGACCGAUUGUUUAUUGAGCUUGUGUAUAGAGGAUCUAAUCCGACUUGGUGUAGUGUGAAAACACUAUACAAUGAAGUUUUAUGGUGUUGUUGAGUUGGAUUGACUGUUGGGUUACAACCCAACUUAUCAAUGUAAUAUUUCCAUGGGUGCAGUGCUUUACACCUCACCUUUUUUUUGGCUAGUGUGGCUACUUGCCAACUUGAUCUUAGAGUACAAUAGGUUUGUCUCCAUAGAGCAAAGGCAAUGUUGUACUGUUUAUGAAAUCUUGAGACUAGAAGAACUCAAGUGAAUUUGCAAGAUGACGUGGGUAGAUAAGUCCAACCAUGUUUACAUGAUAGGUUUUCUUAUUGUGUGCAACCUUAUCUUUAAUAAUAAAUAGGGUGAUUUCAAGUGGAUUUUAUGUCUAUAUUAUAGUUGAAGAGGCAUGCAUGUUUUCCUUCUAUGGUUUGUUUCUAUAGCCAAAAAGGUUAUGCAUAAUUUCUAUUUGUUGGAGGCUAGUCAUGAGGACGAUAUGGACAACCCGUUUUAUAUUGUUUUUAAUCGCCGAUGAUACAUGGUAGUUUUUUUAUAUGAUCAGUUCUCUAUGCAUGCUUGUGGAAUUAUUAUUUGGACCGCUUUAUCUUAAACAAAGUCAAUGUUUAACUGGAAGUUGCUUAUGUUUGUUAGUCAUCUAUCUCUAUAAUGAUGUGGUUGUUGCAUUAGAUGGAGAUUUUUAUUAUAUGAAUGAUGGUUUGAUAGAUCAUGUAUGUCUACUACUUUGAAUUCAUCCUAUGACAUCACUAGGUACAAAUUGUUCAAGUGCAAUAAUAGGAGGUAUUGUUGUAUGUGAGGUUAAUCAAGGUAGUUGGGUUAGGUGGAUUAUCUUAUUGAAGUCCAAUUACUCCUGUUGAGCAUAGUAUCGUGUUAUUAUUUUAGUGUAGAAAGUAAUAUUUAUGAAGCUUUUGCAUGAGUCUGUGUCAAGAAGUACAUUAGUUUUUUCUUGUUGUUAUCCCUCCAUUGCUUUAUGAGUAUUGCAAAUUUUAUCUCUUUUGAGAGGGGGAAAAGAUGUUAUAUGACAUGAGCACCAUUUGCUUCACGUCAACAGAAUAGUUUUGGAGAUUUCUAGUAGUUGGAUUCUACUGUAAUAACAACCAUGUUUUAUAGAGCUGGAGACGGGUAUGUCAGGUGUUUCAUACAUUGUCGGUACAUGGAUGUUUGACCUUAGUGGCAUUAACAAACGAGGUUGUUGAAUUCAUUGAUUGUUGUGCUUAGUGUUCUAACCUAUUUGGUAGAGUGUUAUUUAAAGACUUUGUGGAGUUGCAUCCCAGUUUGGUAGUGGAAAAUCCUAGUGUAGAUGGCACCUGCCAAUGACUUGGGUUUCAUUUUAUAUUGUUUUUUUUAUUGUUGAUAAUGUGUUGUUUGGUUUUGGGAGGCAUUUUAAAUUAGUUGGAGGCUGAAUCAGGCUUCACUUAUCUAGAAUGUUUUGUAGUAUGUUUCUGCAUCUUUCCAUAGGAUGCUUAAUCACCAUGUUUGGUCUAAACAUUUGAGAGAUAUGGGUUUCUUAAAACAUCUUUGUUGGUGUCUCUAGCAGAGUGUGUCUUUAAUUUUGUACGGAAGAGUAGACAUUGAAGACAAUAUAAUUUGGUCUUUGUGGAUUAUGAAAGUUUUAGUAAUUUCAUGAUCUUUUCAAAGAGUAUGGGUUUCUAAUUCUCAUUGCAUAUAAUUGGAGUUAGGUUGCUCUGAAGUUGUUGCACUGUUGUGUCUAAACUUUAGGCGUCGUUAUAAUCACCAAUGAAUCGACCGCGUUUUGAUAGUUGCAGAGCAUAAAUUUGCGAAUUCUCUUUAAGAAAAACUUGUAGGUAUUUUCAGUACCUUUUUAAUGGGUAUUUACUUGUAACUGUCUGUUAAAUAGAUUUGGAGAGGUGGUUGCCCGGAUAUAAGUCGAAUCUCUAAUGUGCAGUAUCUCAGGCUGAGUUUAGCUGUAGGUCAUGCAGAGUUGUGGGCUAUAAGGAUAAAUUUGGGUGCAACUUUAUUGCAAAAGUCAUGGACAAUUUUCAAAACUUUUCCAACGCGUGUUCGUUGUAGUUUAAAUUGAGUAUAGCAGGAGUUAUAGGUUUUUGAAUUUUAUUUGUCCAUUGUUUCAAUCUUAUCAGUUUUGAAACAAAGGAGUUGCAUUGUUUUAUCGGUUUGGAAACCAAUUCCGAGGCACUCAUUAUAAUAAAAGUUUUAGGGAAUGUUAUAAUCUUUUCAGUGAGUUUAUAUUUGCAAAAUUUUGUUAGCUGCAGGGAGUUAUGAUAUCAUGUAUAGAAUGUGCUUGGAUGAAUAUGUGGGCAGACAUAACAUGCUUAAAUUGAUUCUUGUUUGCAUGAUGUGAGAUUAGGCUUAAAGGAUUUAAAAACUUAUCAUAUUGCUUCUAUACUUAUAUUUGUUCUAGGUGUCUCGUAAUGAAGAACCUAAAGUUAUUAGUCUUUCAAUGAACGCUUAAUCUUAGAAGAGUAAUGAACUUGAUAAAAUCUAUUGCUUGCUAUUGGGACUGCAUGACCAGUUUUAGUUAUGCAGCUAGUUCAGUGAAGUAAACCAUCUUUUCUGUAGAGAUGUUAUAUAUAAAAGUUGUGGCCAACUUAUUUAUCUUACUUGUGUAAAAAUUUCAUGACCAUAGGUCUAGUAGUUUGGGAGUUAUGAUUUUCUCAAGUCCAGUCUUGAAAUCUGUGCAGAUUCUAUACAGAUUUCGAAGCUGACCUAGUUUGCCCAAUUUAAACUUCGAAUAACUUAUUAUAAAUUAUAAAUAAGUUGUAGUACUUUUCUUAAUCGUUACAACAAAUUUUGGAUUAAUUUUUUUGGAGAUCUAUAAGUUAAGUUACAGCAGUUUUAAGUGUGAUCUCUGAAUCUGUCCAAAUUUGGACAGCAGAGCCUUUCUCGUGUCUUUUGACCUUAAUAUGCAUUGAAUUAACUUGAUGUGUUUAUAAAUGAAUUAUAGACAAUUCUACUAGCUUUAUAAAAAGUCUGGGAGCACCUGAAUUGGAUGAUUGAGACUCCAAUUAUGGAUUUUUGAAUUGAGUAGUUGAAUUAUGUCCAAGUCUGGACAGAAUUUACGUUUAGCACUGUUUGACCUUUCUAAGUGUCAAAUCUUGUUGUGAUGAUAAUACCAAGGGUAUAGUGGACUUUAUAAGUUUUCCAUCAAGUCCUAGUUUACUAAUUUUCGAUGCAUAUUUUUGUGAGUUAGGAGCAAAACAAUUAACCGCUGUGCUGCUAUCUAGAAAUAUGCAAGCAUUAAGUUGCUCUCUUGAAGUUGCUCUUGUGUGGCUAAGUUUGGUUUAGCCUAUAGGAACAUUAUAUGCCUUGCAUUCAUAUAUACAUUCCUUGAAGUACUUGCAUAUGUCAAUGAUUGAUUUGGUGUCAGGAAAGCUUGAUCCGAGGUAUAUAGGACCGUCUGCUAUCUUGGCCGAGUUGGCAGCUGGGCUUAGCACAUGUAAUUGUCGGAAUCUGUGAUCAGAGUACACCAAGUAUUUCAUGUCUUUUUGUUGAGGAAGUAUUUGCGGAAUCCAGACCAUCAAAUCGAGCUAGAGCCGAUUCCUGUGUAGCAAGAGCAGACUCUAGAGUGUCGUCUGUUGCGUAUCUUAGAAUCCUAGGAGCUUGAGGAGCUGAUACGACAGAAGUACUCGAACUUUUCUUUAUGUGUGAGUUUUGUUGAUUCAUUAACCUUUCUUUUAUUGUUCCGAUAGAAGCGUCAGAAUUCGAGGUCGAAUUCUUUUUAAGAGGGGUAGAGUGUGAUACCCGGUUUGCAAAGAAGAGAAGUUGGGGGUUGUUCUUUUUGUUUUUUUUCCUCAUCCGGUUGUUGUUUUGGGGAUUUGGGAUUUUGUGGAAAACAUUCACAACUAGGGCAGUAGAAUUUAUUUGGUUUGACGCUUGCUUUGCGGUCGGGAGCUGUCGCGUGGGUUAGUUGGGCCGCAAUUGGAGUUUCGGCCCAUUAACCCUCCCAAACCCUAGCCGCCUCCCUCCUAACCCCCUCCCCCCAUGUGCAGCCCCCCUCACUUCUCUUCCCCCUUGGCCGCCGCACCCCCUGCCCAUCUCCUCCUCUCUCAAUUCUUGCAGCCACCAAACCCUAGCCGCCCCCCUCUCAAUCCCCUCCUCCCAAGGUGCCAAUCCUUGCCGCUCGGAUCAUCGUCGUCGUGGUGCGAGUCUUCAAUCGUUUUGGUGGAGGGAAGAAGGGAGGAAGGAAAGGGGGAGAAUCCAAGGUGGUGGGCUUCAGGAUCGUACUUGGGAUUUGCCCGAACUUCCGGUAAAGGCAAGUAAAUACAAUGGUGGUUGCUACCGUUUGGUUUGCAUCCUAUUCCCUGUCAUUGAGUAUGCAUAAGUUUUAAUUAUGUUAAUCAUUGAAUUCUAUGAUGAAGUUUAUUUGUUUGGAAGUAUUAAUUCUCAAUUGUCUAACAUUGUGGAUGAUCAUAAUUUGGUAAUGAUAUAUGUGGUUGAUUCCCAUCUGGAUGAAGUUGAAGUGUCUUUUUGAAUCAUGUUAUAUGAAGUGUUGUAGGCAUGACAUGCACAUCGCAUCAUCCAUCUUGCAUUUUGAAGUUAUGUCGUGAUCUUAUGGUCCGACCGUACCGGUACAUUUUUAGCAUCGUACGUUGCCCGAGGAGGGGUACGAUGCGGCUUCAUAUCCUUAGAGGUAUGAAGGCAGAAGUCAUCCUUGCAUUUGCAGACAUUUGCACUCAUGAGGAAUAUAUGAAGUGUGACAUUACUAUGUUACUAUUGUGGUUUCUACCUGCGAGGUGUGGUAACUAGGUGCGUUGUACGUUGUAUACGUGCUGCACCUUCGUAAUAAGAAGGUUGUGGAAUUAAGUGGUGGUAAAACAAUGUUCUUAUGUGGUUAAACUGUUUGAUAUUAUUUUACUUGCUGAGAUGUGUCAUCUCACUCUUGCAUUACUCAAUGCAGGUACUUGAUACAUGUUGGGAAUGAGGGGAGUAGCAGCACGUCCACUUUCACUCUCACAAUAACGCUGCCCAGGCGCAGCCAUGAUUUAAUUAGAAACUUAUUAUCAAAGGAAGU
Molecule: long non-coding RNA, 6684 nt
Filed under: Zea mays
Lineage: Eukaryota; Viridiplantae; Streptophyta; Magnoliopsida; Poales; Poaceae
Description: long non-coding RNA (ZMAY_LNC002450)
Source: RNAcentral